CAGCAGCCGCGGUAAUACAGAGGGUGCGAGCGUUAAUCGGAUUUACUGGGCGUAAAGCGUGCGUAGGCGGCUUCUUAAGUCGGAUGUGAAAUCCCUGAGCUUAACUUAGGAAUUGCAUUCGAUACUGGGAAGCUAGAGUAUGGGAGAGGAUGGUAGAAUUCCAGGUGUAGCGGUGAAAUGCGUAGAGAUCUGGAGGAAUACCGAUGGCGAAGGCAGCCAUCUGGCCUAAUACUGACGCUGAGGUACGAAAGCAUGGGGAGCAAACAGGAUUAGAUACCCCAGUAGUCCCUGUAUCUUAUAC
This 301-nucleotide ribosomal RNA is filed under the name uncultured bacterium. RNAcentral's name for it is "partial 16S ribosomal RNA". It matches the Rfam family "Bacterial small subunit ribosomal RNA", at positions 509 to 807 of the family's 1533-position model. The record is from RNAcentral.